CCCAUGGAUUCUGAGCUCCAAACGGAGGCUGCAAAGAAGUGAAAAACACACUUUUGCCCUCUUUGGAGAUGGAACCUGGCUUUGUAGCCUGGACUACAGCCCCUGUUACAGGAUUACCAGCUGCUGCCCACAGAAGAGCCGCUGUCCACAGAGGAACCUGAUGUGAACGUUUACCAAGUGGAUCCUGAUGGUGAAAGUCAGCUGCACUUCAAAGUUGAUGACACCCCUAGACAGCAGGAAGCAGCUUAAGAGACACAACGCCCUCAUUCCCUUUUCACCAUCGGCUUCUCUCUCCCCUU
This is a long non-coding RNA of Mastomys coucha (southern multimammate mouse), 299 nucleotides long. RefSeq lists it as uncharacterized. The record is from RefSeq and is a predicted model, not a curated record. Lineage: Eukaryota; Metazoa; Chordata; Mammalia; Rodentia; Muridae. The transcript has 3 exons.